GUUUGGGCUAUAAACUUUUUGAACUUCACUACCGAUGCAUAGAUAACUAUUCACCACUCAGAUGUCUCAAAGCUCAUCACGUGGAAACUGGCCACGCUCCUAGUACCUGAUAUCCUGCCUCCUGAGACCUACUUUCAGCAUUUCCCUACCUGAAUCAUAUCGAUAUCGGAUUCGACCGCUGAGCUCCGAGAGACGAGGUCGGAUUUUCUUACUCCUGGUUUUGUCGAGGAUUUCGUUAUUGCGAUAAGGAUAUUUGAAGUUCAAGAAUUGGAGACCUGGUGGAUUGGAGCACCUAGGAAAGCAAGAUUUUGCCACAUGGUCCCUAAAAGGAACAAACAUGACAAGCAUUUGAUAGAUAGUCAGUGUGUACUGCCAAUAUUACACAUGAUGCCAAGUUUGUGCAAUUCUUUGGAAUUUCUUAAAGAAAAAUUAGGUUGCUGUCCACAUGGAACAAAAGCACAAAGAACAACAUCACAGAAAAUUACGUAUAAAUUUCACAAAAAUGAAAAUGUUUGAUCUUUUUAAUGCACUACGUAAUCCUUAUUUAAUAAUUAAAAUCUGU
This is a long non-coding RNA of Stegodyphus dumicola, 562 nucleotides long. The record is from RefSeq and is a predicted model, not a curated record. Lineage: Eukaryota; Metazoa; Arthropoda; Arachnida; Araneae; Eresidae.